Molecule: ribosomal RNA, 502 nt
Filed under: uncultured Alistipes sp.
Lineage: Bacteria; Pseudomonadati; Bacteroidota; Bacteroidia; Bacteroidales; Rikenellaceae
Description: partial 16S ribosomal RNA
Source: RNAcentral
CACGGAGUUAGCCGAUCCUUAUUCGUACGAUACUUUCAGACAGAUACGCGUAUCUGCGUUUACCCUCGUACAAAAGCAGUUUACAACUCAUAGAGCCGUCUUCCUGCACGCGGCAUGGCUGGUUCAGACUUGCGUCCAUUGACCAAUAUUCCUCACUGCUGCCUCCCGUAGGAGUUUGGUCCGUGUCUCAGUACCAAUGUGGGGGGUUAACCUCUCAGUCCCCCUAUGUAUCGUUGUCUUGGUGAGCCGUUACCCCACCAACUAACUAAUACAACGCAUGCCCAUCCAUUACCACCGGAGUUUUCAACCCAAGAAGAUGCCUCCCUGGAUGUUAUGGGGUAUUAGUACCGAUUUCUCAGUGUUAUCCCCCUGUAAUGGGUAGGUUGCAUACGCGUUACGCACCCGUGCGCCGGUCGCCGACGUAGAUUGCAAGCAAUCUACUCGCUGCCCCUCGACUUGCAUGUGUUAAGCCUGCCGCUAGCGUUCAUCCUGAGCCAGGAUC